AAACUACCCUUCGGAACACAAUACCCUCGGGAAACUGAGGCUAAUAGUGUAUACCAUACCACCACUGGAAUGAGUGGUAUGCCAAACGCUCCGGCGCCGAAGGAUGUGGCUGCGGCCGAUUAGGUAGACGGUGGGGUAACGGCCCACCGUGCCAAUAAUCGGUAUGGGUCAUGAGAGUGAGAACCCAGAGACGGAAUCUGAGACAAGAUUCCGGGCCCUACGGGGCGCAGCAGGCGCGAAACCUUUACACUGCACGACAGUGCGAUAGGGGGAUCCCAAGUGCACAGGCAUAGCGCCUGUGCUUUUCGGUACCCUAAGGCGGUACCAGAAUAAGGGCUGGGCAAGACCGGUGCCAGCCGCCGCGGUAAUACCGGCAGCCCAAGUGAUGGCCGAUCUUAUUGGGCCUAAAGCGUCCGUAGCUGGCCGCGCAAG
RNAcentral lists this ribosomal RNA (432 nucleotides) under Halorubrum ezzemoulense. Its description in RNAcentral is "bacterial SSU rRNA". It matches the Rfam family "Archaeal small subunit ribosomal RNA", at positions 106 to 537 of the family's 1478-position model. Lineage: Archaea; Methanobacteriati; Methanobacteriota; Halobacteria; Halobacteriales; Haloferacaceae. The record is from RNAcentral.